Molecule: ribosomal RNA, 470 nt
Filed under: Actinomyces sp. oral taxon 171
Lineage: Bacteria; Bacillati; Actinomycetota; Actinomycetes; Actinomycetales; Actinomycetaceae
Description: bacterial SSU rRNA
Rfam family: Bacterial small subunit ribosomal RNA
Source: RNAcentral
GACGAACGCUGGCGGCGUGCUUAACACAUGCAAGUCGAACGGUGAAGCGCUUUCCUUUUUGGUUGGUGUGGAUGAGUGGCGAACGGGUGAGUAACACGUGAGUAACCUGCCCCCUUCUUCUGGAUAACCGCAUGAAAGUGUGGCUAAUACGGGAUAUUCUGCGCCUGCUGCAUGGUGGGUGUGGGAAAGAUUGUGCCUUUGGGUGUUUUCGGUGGGGGAUGGGCUUGCGGCCUAUCAGCUUGUUGGUGGGGUGAUGGCCUACCAAGGCGGUGACGGGUAGCCGGCCUGAGAGGGUGGACGGUCACACUGGGACUGAGACACGGCCCAGACUCCUACGGGAGGCAGCAGUGGGGAAUAUUGCACAAUGGGCGCAAGCCUGAUGCAGCGACGCCGCGUGAGGGAUGGAGGCCUUCGGGUUGUGAACCUCUUUCGCCAGUGAAGCAGGCCUGCUCCUUGUGGGUGGGUUGACG